AAUGGGCUAGUUCCAUAUGCUUAGCAGAUCUCACCUUGGGUUUAUGUACUUGUUUUUGCUUAGGGCCCUCGGGGACCGAAAGGUGAUACUGGUUUGCCUGGAUCACAAGGACUUAAAGGACAACAGGGUGAAAAGGGAGAACCAGGAGCUAUCAUUACUGCUGAUGGAUCUUUACCUGAAUUAUUAGGAAGAAAAGGGGAGAAGGGUGAAGCUGGAGUGGUGGGACCAGUGGGACCAGUGGUAAGAUAUUUCCAAAGAUGAGUGGGUUCUUUUUUUUCUUUUUGCUUUGGUUUUACAGAUAAUGGUAAAUAUAAAUAUAGCUAAAUAUAGCUUUUCAUUUCUUCUGGGUAGGGAUGAUAAUGCAUAUUCAUGCUUCAGGAUGAUCAAUGUCCUUCAGAAAAGAAUGUGGUUGUUACAUAUGUGGUGCUGUAAACUACUGCCUUGAUUCAGAAUUUAAAUUCUGGUAGCACAAAUGUAUCCAUUACUAUCUAAAUAGACGGUGAAAUAUCAUCAGCACUAGAAACUUACAUAACUUAUGGCUCUGAGUGAACUGGGUUUGUUUAGCCCUGAAGAUAAAAGGCUGAGAGUGGCUAUAUUUGUUCCCUGCCACUGCCUGAAAGGGAAUUAUC
This 629-nucleotide long non-coding RNA is filed under the name Athene cunicularia (burrowing owl). Its description in RNAcentral is "lncRNA (ENSACUG00000008143.1)". The record is from RNAcentral. Lineage: Eukaryota; Metazoa; Chordata; Aves; Strigiformes; Strigidae.